Molecule: long non-coding RNA, 951 nt
Filed under: Coffea arabica (coffee)
Lineage: Eukaryota; Viridiplantae; Streptophyta; Magnoliopsida; Gentianales; Rubiaceae
Description: long non-coding RNA (CARA_LNC000734)
Source: RNAcentral
GUGAAUCCAAUGACGAUAAUAAUGCAUACUGUCAGUAUAUAUAAUAUUUAUCCAACAACAUUUAAAAUCUCUUUCAGUAGAUAUGAGGAGCGAGAGUUAUCGUUGGCCAAACUAUUUUUACUAAUUCUGUUAAGUUCGUUGUGCAUAUGAUGGACAAAUCUCGUUCCCUUCUCUUCUGCUUGCAUAAUUGGUGACAAAACAUGAAACAUCUUGCACGUCACUUAUCACAUCCAUACAAUACAAGAUGUUAGUAUUCAAACUUCUAUUUGUUCUCCCCUAUUUCGUCAUGCAUGACAGACACAUGAUAGACCACUUUACAGUAUCAUCAUUUUUCUUAUGCAUAAUUAGCAGUACUAAUUAGUUGUAGCCUUUGUACAUUUCGGCCCAAAUUGUCGCCCCUGUUCAUCCUUGCAAGCUUAACAAGAUCAUCUGCAAGUCAGUCCGUCCGUCAGGGUCCUCAUGGAGCCCUUGGUGGCCACCACCGGCUAAGGUCCAAAGCUCUUCCCAUGGUGGAAAAAGAUUUUGAAUUGGAUAGGAAGCCAACAGGGUAAGUGAAGAAAGCUGAGAGAAUAAUCCAUCAUUCAACAAAAACAACAGGGCACGAAAAAAUUUUUCUUUUAAAAAAGAAGGGGAAAAAAAAAAUACUUGUCAUGAGGUCGAAACGAGAAAGUUAAAGAGCACUCUUUAUUGAAUUCAAGGAGUACACAACAGGACUUACUCAAGAAUUUGCUAUUCAGCAAAUUUGCUGCCUACUCUGCCUCUUCUAAUCAAUAGUUGCAGGCUUCACUUCAGCAACUAUUAUUGGCCCUGAAUUUGAUCGAAACCAUGCAAAGCUCGAAGCCGCCUCUUGGUCUCAGCCAAAAUGGGCUAUGACUACCGAAACAAGAAUCACCCCCAAACAGAACCAAGCAUAGCACUGCCUCCCUAACUUUGCCAGCAUCUUCUGCAUAC